This 497-nucleotide ribosomal RNA is filed under the name uncultured bacterium. RNAcentral's name for it is "bacterial SSU rRNA". It matches the Rfam family "Bacterial small subunit ribosomal RNA", at positions 903 to 1397 of the family's 1533-position model. The record is from RNAcentral.
AAAGGAAUUGACGGGGACCCGCACAAGCAGUGGAGCAUGUGGUUUAAUUCGAAGCAACGCGAAGAACCUUACCAGGUCUUGACAUCCCCCUGACCGGUGCAGAGAUGUGCCUUUCCCUUCGGGGACAGGGGAGACAGGUGGUGCAUGGUUGUCGUCAGCUCGUGUCGUGAGAUGUUGGGUUAAGUCCCGCAACGAGCGCAACCCUUGUCCUUAGUUGCCAGCGAGUAAGGUCGGGCACUCUAGGGAGACUGCCGGUGACAAACCGGAGGAAGGUGGGGAUGACGUCAAAUCAUCAUGCCCCUUAUGACCUGGGCUACACACGUGCUACAAUGGCCGGUACAACGGGCGGCGAGAGGGUGACCUUGAGCGAAUCCCUGAAAGCCGGUCUCAGUUCGGAUUGCAGGCUGCAACUCGCCUGCAUGAAGUCGGAAUUGCUAGUAAUCGCGGAUCAGCAUGCCGCGGUGAAUACGUUCCCGGGUCUUGUACACACCGCCCGU